Unclassified non-coding RNA from Acanthaster planci (crown-of-thorns starfish), 2029 nucleotides. Lineage: Eukaryota; Metazoa; Echinodermata; Asteroidea; Valvatida; Acanthasteridae. The record is from RefSeq and is a predicted model, not a curated record.
CGUCAGGGUUUGCUUUAAUUUUUCAGCGCGAAGCACGGACGGACGCCGCGCUGUCAAUUCUUCUCAUGAAAAACAAGUAGGCCUAGGACCUACGGGCAUGGCUAGAAAACUGCUCAGCUCUACCACCCUGUGACGUCGAGCCGUAAAAAAGAAACGUGGAGAGUCUGUUCGCCUGUAGCAGUAUUUGUUUUGAGGAUUUUGUAAACAACAAGAAAACAAUUGCCAUGUUUGAUAGAUCCAGAGAAUAAGAAUAACAGAAAUGCCAUCAAGGGGGUCAAUAUCUGGGGUGAGCAGGUGGGCCACAUCAAGCGAGAGAUGGUGGCAGCUUGGGCACCCGUGAUUGAUGGAAACUGGCUGAUAUCGAAAGUGUUGUUCCCUUUGGAAAGAAUAACACCUACCGCAUCCCUGUCGACAUCUCAGUCUGGGGACGAGCUGACCAGAAACCCCGGGUCGUUGAUAUGCUAGCAUACCGGGGAGUGAGGUUUGAUCCCCCACGCUCCCUAUCAGAGCAUUGGAGAGGGGGCAUGGCACAGUCUGGUCCAACAAAACUUUAUAAGCCACGAGCCUCAGCUGCCGGCCCUGUUGAACUCACCAAAGCUGAGAUGAACAGUGAAAUUGAUUGACUGUUUGAUGACCUGAAACAAGUGGGAAAAACAACCAUCACGAUGGAACCAGCAGAGGCAAUCACCAGCAAACUUUACCCACACCAAAAGCAAGCUCUGAACUGGAUGUGCUCCUUAGAGAAUUCAGACAACCUCCCAAUGCUCUGCCUAUCUGAACACAGAAAAGACCCAAGAACCCCCAUCCAGAACAGCAUCAAGGACCUGUAGCCCCUGAUGGCCUUUCUUGGCCUGGAACCUUUCAAGUCUGACAGCGUGUGGUGGCAGCGAACCAUCGUCAGGCCCAUCAACCAGGGUGACAAAUCUGCUAUAAAACAAAUAACUCAGCUGAUGGAGCAGAUUUUCUUGCGCCGCACCAUGACCUAGGUCAAUAGUCAACUUCUGGUUGACCUGCCGGCCAAGUUGAUCUUCGCAUAGAAGGUGGAGUUUUUGGCUGAUCAACAAGCAGUGUAUGACAGCAUGGCAAAGGAAGGAAAGUUGGCCAUUGGCAACACUGAUACAUGUAGGUAUUUCAACACAGGAACUGUGCUGGCUAGUUACGGCAAUGUCCUGGCCAUUCUGUUGUGCCUUCGCCAAUUAUGCUGUCAUCCAGCUCUUAUUGCUGCAGCUGGAGCUCUCCAAGAAGUGGACUCUGCCUCAGUGGGGAAGGCCAGGACGAGUUGAAGAAGAAACUUGUUGAAACCUUACUGGCAGUACUAAGACAGGGAGCAGAUGAGGCCUGGAAUCCUGCAGCUGAAGAUCAGCGCUUUGAUCGUUGCCAUCGACUCAGACAAACCAAAGAUGUUGUCAUCAUCAAGUUCAUUGUGAAGGACUCCAUAGAGGAGCGUAUGCUUGAACUUCAGGACAAGAAACGCAAGCUGAUUGCCAGGGCCUUUAGCAAGAAACUCACCACAGAGGAGAGACAACAGGCUCGCAUCAAUGACAUCAAGACAUUGAUGGACCUCUCUGGCAUGGUGCCUGGCCAGUCCACUAAGUAGAGGUAACAAAGAUGCACGGGAGCAGUGUGAGAGAUGUGGAUCAAGUUCAAGGUGAGCAAAAUUGUUUGUUUACUGAUGACGCAGAAGCAACUUAGAACAGGUGCAUUGUUCUUACACAAGUUUUGCUCAAAACUAGGUCACACUUUUCUCCUACAGUGUGAAUAGAUAAUUGCUGAAUGUUGUUUUCCUGUGUUCAUGGAAAUGCAGAAUCCACAUACAGAGCUACAUAAUAUUAUGCAGUAUUGAUUUUUAUUCUUGCCUUUGUACUUGAUUGUGCCAUUUAACUUUACUUCAUGGAAGAUAAGUAGAGAUCAUUGUUGAUUUUCUUGUGUAAUUCAUGUAUCUUCCAGAACCUUUAAGGCUGAGUUCGGGCAGCUUGUUCCCGUAUGUUCACGAACAGCCCGAUUUGUUGUUCUUGGGUCGGCCGCUCGA